This 465-nucleotide ribosomal RNA is filed under the name uncultured bacterium. RNAcentral describes it as "partial 16S ribosomal RNA". It matches the Rfam family "Bacterial small subunit ribosomal RNA", at positions 28 to 506 of the family's 1533-position model. The record is from RNAcentral.
GAUGAACGCUGGCGGCGUGCUUAACACAUGCAAGUCGAACGAUGAAGCCCAGCUUGCUGGGUGGAUUAGUGGCGAACGGGUGAGUAACACGUGAGUAACCUGCCCUUAACUCUGGGAUAAGCCUGGGAAACUGGGUCUAAUACCGGAUAGGAGCGUCCACCGCAUGGUGGGUGUUGGAAAGAUUUAUCGGUUUUGGAUGGACUCGCGGCCUAUCAGCUUGUUGGUGAGGUAAUGGCUCACCAAGGCGACGACGGGUAGCCGGCCUGAGAGGGUGACCGGCCACACUGGGACUGAGACACGGCCCAGACUCCUACGGGAGGCAGCAGGGGGGAAUAUGGCACAAUGGGCGCAAGCCUGAUGCAGCGACGCCGCGUGAGGGAGGACGGCCUUCGGGUGGUAAACCUCUUUCAGUAGGGAAGAAGCGAAAGUGACGGUACCUGCAGAAGAAGCACCGGCGAACUACGU